CGAAAGGGAAACAAGUUAAUAUUCUUGUACUAAGUGUCGGAGAUUGUUUGAUUUCAUGUCAAACAUAUGUGGUAACACAAACAAGCUCAAAUACAUCACAAGUGGUCCUGGAAAGAGUUUUCUCUUCUUUGUUACUUCAUCAGACGACCCUGGAAUCAGUUCAACUGGAGAUAGGGUUCAAAUGAAGGUAAAGAGUAGCCGUUCUUGCUACUUCCUCGGUGCAUCAUUUGUGAUCCUUGAAAAUUUGAGCGAGAUAAUCAAUUUCGCACUUAUCUGUACUCUAAACCGCAUCAGGUCUCCAAGGUGAAAAGCCUCUAGUCAAUUAGAACAAGGUAGCACAAGGGAAGUCGGCAAAAUCGAUCGGCAACUUCGGAUAACGAUUGGCUCUAAGUGCUAGGGUGUUCGGCUUGAUGAUAAAGCAGUAGACUUGCUAUUGGAGCUGAG
This 444-nucleotide ribosomal RNA is filed under the name uncultured eukaryote. RNAcentral's name for it is "eukaryotic LSU rRNA". It matches the Rfam family "Eukaryotic large subunit ribosomal RNA", at positions 1595 to 2012 of the family's 3401-position model. The record is from RNAcentral.